RNAcentral lists this transfer RNA (87 nucleotides) under Varibaculum cambriense. RNAcentral's name for it is "tRNA-Ser". It matches the Rfam family "tRNA". Rfam says of the family: Transfer RNA (tRNA) molecules are approximately 80 nucleotides in length. RNAcentral also lists the same sequence under 3 other names. Lineage: Bacteria; Bacillati; Actinomycetota; Actinomycetes; Actinomycetales; Actinomycetaceae. The record is from RNAcentral.
GGAGAGUUGUCCGAGUGGCCGAAGGAGACGGUCUUGAAAACCGUUAUACCCGCAAGGGUAUCAAGGGUUCGAAUCCCUUACUCUCCG